RNAcentral lists this long non-coding RNA (2027 nucleotides) under Homo sapiens (human). RNAcentral describes it as "HSALNT0230993". The record is from RNAcentral. Lineage: Eukaryota; Metazoa; Chordata; Mammalia; Primates; Hominidae.
GGUAAAGGGCAAAUCCCUUUGGAUGCUUUCUUUUUUAAAGAAUGGCUGCAGUUGCUGACAGAUGGUCUUUGUCUGAAUGUAGCUGAGGACAGAUACAGUUUCUUUUUACACAUUUAUGAAAGUUGUAGAUAUAGAUGCUGGUAAUAUGCUGUGGCCUAGGACAAAGAGCAAAGCUUGGUGGACAGAGAGGAUUAAAUUUCAGAUCAGUGACAGAUGGCUGGCUUAGCAGAGUCAGAUAAAAUUAAAAGAGGGGGGUAGUGGGUGAAAAGAAACCACUUUCCAUGUAAAAGUUGCAUCUUCUAAGACAACAGCAGCAUGCAACGUCUAGCUUUCUUCCCAACCUGGUACUCAGUUCCUGGAUUUAAAUUUCUUCUUCAAAUACGCAUUUUAGUUUUGCCUUUGCAGAAGAAAUGGAUUCUUUAUUGAUCGAACUUAUCUAAGGGAAACUAAGAAACAAUACAAUUAACAAUUUGUUUUUCAACUUGGCCAGCAAAGAAUACUUCCAUUUGCAAAACUACACAGGAGAAAGGGCCAGAUGUGUGAGAUGCCAGAAGAAGGGAGCCCUGAUCACACUCUGUGUACAGCGGAUCUCAAGCAUUUCCACCAAGGACUCCGCCUAGGAGGGAGAGAUAGCUUGUCUUGAGGAAGGACAAUGCCCUAUGUGAAUCUACUUCUAUUUCCUAACUGGAUUGGGAGCCAAACCAACAAGCUCCAAAAAGAUCACACAAGAGGCCCCAGUGCCGGGGCCAGAGGGCCACCUAUUCAUGCCUAUGGAUCCAGAGCUACCAUUUUAAACCUAGAGGCAGGGCCCCCUCCUGAACUGUAAGCCAUUAAAAAAGUCAGAUUCAUUCAAGCAAGAACAGAAGUUAGGUUGUGGAACAGAGAAAACUUUUCAAAAGAAGUGAAAAGUAGAUCCUCAUGUAAUCAUCCCUUCUUUCUUCAAAAUAGGCUGAGGCAGUUCUCUGGAAUUCCCAGAGAAGACUGAAAUGGAAUCUUCUAUUACCCUUCUGAGCAAUUACAUGUCCAGGAGUCUUUGAGAAGGAACACAAGCUAUUUCCUAAAUAUAUAUCUAUUUCUAUAUCAUGAGGCCUGCUGGGGCAGAUUGGGUGUCUUUGUUGGUUAAAAGAGACUACCUAAGAUGUUAUCAUGGCAGCACAUAACAAAAACACAUCAAGUUUGGACAAUUAGUGAGGCUGUAGAGUGGGAUUCAUGUCUGGCUGGUGAAGUGGCCCUUACUGGGCCUCUCUGUAGGAGAGGACCUAUUUCUUCUUGUCCUCACAUGGAGAUGAGACAAUAGGGCUAGGCAGCCAUGUUCUAUGCUUAGUGGCAAUUCUCAACAUGGUCCUUAUACUAAAGAAUGCCAGGAGGCCCUCUUUCUGGAAAGAAAAACAAAAGAAGGUGCUCAUUCCUGAUUCAGAGACAAACCAGGGAGAACUUCAGUUAGUUCAGAAAAUGCCUGGAACAGAGUGAGACUGGGGGCUUGGCCUUUUCUCCAGCAAGGACAAAAACCAUUGUCUUCAGUCUCACCAAACACCCUUCCCUCUCCCUUUCAUUUUGGUUCCCGUGUAGUCUGAGCAUUCAAAACCCCCUCUCCUAUUUCCUGGUAGAAUCCCAUAAGUGUGGAUUGAAUAUUGACAGAAUCUUCCAUGUUUCUUCCUGCCCUAGGGCAAUUAGAGUUGAAUUAUGUACACCAAAGUCAGGCUAUAAAUAAGAAACUAUUUUUCAUUUAUCUCAAUGAGAAGAAAUCCUUAUUAGACCCUAAACAGAAGAAAUGAGCGAAUAUGAGAUUAAUAUAAGUGAAGGAGGCUAUAGUUUCUGCUUUGUGUGGUGAUAAACCCUUUUUUUCCUUUUCAUACUAAUUAUUGUUAUCAUUAUUAGUAUUAUUUUACCCCUCAAUUGCCUUCGGAUGUUAUCCAAGAGGAAGAGCUUUAUCGGUUGGUGAAAGCUCCACAGUAUUAUUUAUUUCAUGUAAUAAAAUGUAUGUAAUGAUCAUGAUUAAUGUUUGUUUGUUGUUGUAUCAUUGUGUU